UAUCCGUUGGUGAACCAGCGGAGGGAUCAUUACCGAGUUUUACUACUCCCAAACCCCUGUGAACUUAUACCUUUCCUGUUGCUUCGGCGGGUUAACGCCCCGGAAGGCCCAAAAAGCCGCCGCAACCAGGCGCCCGCCGAGGGACCCAAACUCUUGUAUUUCUUACUUUGCAUGUCUGAGUGGAAUCAUAAACAAAUGAAUCAAAACUUUCAACAACGGAUCGCUUGGUUCUG
This 233-nucleotide unclassified non-coding RNA is filed under the name plant metagenome. RNAcentral's name for it is "partial contains small subunit ribosomal RNA, internal transcribed spacer 1, and 5.8S ribosomal RNA". The record is from RNAcentral.